CGUGCACUUCCUUUUUGUUUGUAGGAUACUAGGGGACAUGACCGCUUUACUCUUCUGGUGCAGCACGCACAGGGUGUGGAUCUUGUUUCAUCUCGACAAAAGUACAGCCAGUCCUUGAACUCAAACCUCAUGGCGUGACUAGCCUACUCUCUGACGAUUGGCCUCGUACAACUUCGCGACACAGUCCAAGGGCGGAAGUGACGCUGAUGAUCAGACAGCCAAUGAAAGCACGGCACGAAGCAGUGCGAGCCACACUGUGUGACUGCAGCAUUUGUCAACCCCCGCACAGUCGCCAUCGCUCCGACAAGUGUCCUGACAUGGGCCCGACAAUAGCGACUGGGAGGUGUCGGGACACGACCCUGGCUUCCUCACACCUGCAGGUCAACAGGAUUAAAAACAACUCCAUGUUGAGAAAUAAAAACAAAACAAACGAAGUUACUCACGGUGCGACACCGCAGCACAAAUCCUCCCACAGCCGUUGGAGCAGCACGCCAUGUUGGGUUGACAGUCCACGUGUAGGCGGCACUGCUGUACGCAUGACCUCGGCAGCUGGG
Molecule: long non-coding RNA, 554 nt
Organism: Pomacea canaliculata
Lineage: Eukaryota; Metazoa; Mollusca; Gastropoda; Architaenioglossa; Ampullariidae
Exons: 3
Source: RefSeq, a predicted model, not a curated record